CAGUGUGAACUUGAGUCGAAGGGACUGUGACCUGUGGAUGAGUCCACAUGGGAGCAGGACACCCUGAAGCCUCUGUGGCCAUGGAUAAGCCCAUGCCAGAGCAGUAACCGCUAUGCGUGAUGGAGCCCUGCUUUCCUGGAGAUGGCUGAACACCUGCCUGCUGAUGGAAAGUGGUGAAUGAAGUCCGUGGUUUGCUUUGCUUGCAUGUGUGGCUUUUGCUUUACUUAUUAAACUGUCUUUAUCUCAA
Aquila chrysaetos chrysaetos is the source of this 247-nucleotide long non-coding RNA. RefSeq lists it as uncharacterized. Lineage: Eukaryota; Metazoa; Chordata; Aves; Accipitriformes; Accipitridae. The transcript is spliced from 2 exons. The record is from RefSeq and is a predicted model, not a curated record.